GGGAAGCAAAUGGAGGAUUCUCAUCUUCAUCUCCUAUAUGGCUCCAACUACUACUCCCCCCAAAGUUCAUGUUAUGUCAUACAGAGAAAAUGAUAUCCUUAUGGCAGAAUUGGACAAGAUUACUCAUAGUUUAAGGCAACUGGCCCUCAUGCUCUGGGUGUCCUCAAUCUUCAUGGUCAUUCCAGGCGCCAAGAGGAUUAAUAUUUCACGAACAUAUAACCCAGUAAGUAGGCAAGGAGAGGUGCCACUGAAAAAAAUCCUCUCGUCUUCUUGACUAAGUUACUAGGUUAACUAAAUCAGGAUAGGACCUGGUAAACAGCAGCAAUUGCAGGACAAAUUGUAUUUAACUGGGAGGUUCCUAAGAUGAAUAUGACUGCUACUUUUUAGAACAUCAUGUAAACAUCUUGGCCAUACAGAAUGUAUAGGCUGUGGUUUAAUAAUUCUACCUUUGAACUUUCAAAUAGGCUCUCUUUCGGAGUUAUUGCCAAAUGGUGCUAUUUCAGGUGACUGGGAAACUCUGUGAUCUCGUUAUCAGAAGUAAGACCAGAAUGUCAUUGACGUACACCAUGAUCUCAUGAUUAGGCAGUCGUGUGGGAUUUCAUUUAUCUGGUUCCGAAAAUAGGUAUUGAACAAGACAAACGACAGAAAAAUAUUGCCCGAGACACAUCUAGUCUACCACCUUCUACACACCACUCUCAUUCACAUUGAAGACAUAACUCCAGCUUUAUAAAAAUGAUGAUUCAAAAAUUUUGCAAAAGAAGGCAUUCCCAUGUGGCUCAGUGGGUUAAGAACCUGAUACGGUGUCCACGAGGAUGUGGCUUCGAUCCCUUUCCUCGCUCAGUGAGUUAAGGAUCCAGCCUUGCUGCAAGCUGUGGUGUAGGUUGCAGAUGCGGCUGGGAUCCUGUGUUGCUGUGACUGUGGUGGAGGCUGGCAGCUGCAGCUCCGAUUUGACCCCUAGCCUGGGCACUUCCAUAUGCUGCAGCAUAUGAAAGCUGCCAGGCUAGGGAUCGAAUCAGAGCUGCAGCUGCCGGCCUACGCCACAGCCACAGCAGUACAGGAUCCGAGCCUCCUCUGUGACCUAUGCCACAGCUCAACACAAUGCCAGAUCCUUAGUCCACUGAGCAGGGCCAGGGAUCAAAGCCGCAACCUCAUACAUGAUUCCUAGUUGGGUUUGUUACCACUGAGCCACGGCGGGAACUCCAGAACUCUCCAUUUUAUGUAAGGCUAGUACAGGUGUCUGAUGUACUUCUGCCACAAGUUAUCUAUAUGCUCUUGGAAGGACUUGGCCUUAGGCUUCGAGAAACUAUUCAAGUGCUUGACAUAGUCAUGGGCCCCAGACCCCAGAUUCAUCAUAUUCACAUGUAGUUUUGCCUUCCAUUCUGAAAGUGCCUUCUGGGAAGUGGCAUACUUGUCUGUAAUCCCAGGUAAAGAGGCCACAGAUGGUGGAGGGCCAUAGUGGGCAGAGCUAGAACUUAAGGCAGAAGUCCGAAAGAAGAUGAAAAGCACAGCUUUUUUUAGGACGUAUUGAGGUCCGUGGAGCUCCAUCCGUAAAGACAAUAGAGCAGAGAACUGGUAUGAACAGUAACACAGUGACAACACUGUUUGUUUUUUUUCCUGCGUGUUAUCUCAUGAGCAUGUUAAUUCGGUUAUCUCUAUCCCCCCCAACAUGGGAUAUGUAACAGAGUUUCCAUUUAGACAAGGGUAACGUUGGGAUCUUGUCACCAGUGUAAAGGCCAGAGCACAUACCGCCCAGAAUUCUAUGUUAUGAAAUACCCUCCCUGCUGCCCCUUACAGGUAAGAGUAAAAGGUGAACCUUCUCUUCGUACCCUGGGACACUGGAUAGUAUACCAAGGAGUUUCCAGUAGGCAAACUGCUUAGCUCUCCUUUGGUACAUAUUCAAAGGUUAAUGGGCCCAGGAGGCCUGUGGAUGGAUGGGUUCCACUAUUUCUGCGGUUUUAUGGACAUAUCUGUAUUCACACCCUGAGGCUUAUUAUUAUUAUUUUUUUUUCUUUUUAGGGCUGCCCUCGCGGCAUGUUGAGGUUCCCAGGCUAGGAGUCCAAUCGGAGCUACAGCUGCUGGUCUACACCACAGCUCAUGGCAACGCCGGAUCCUUAACCCACUGAGCAAGGCCAGGGAUUGAACCCGCAUCCUCAUGGUUCCUAGUCGGGUUCGUUAACCACUGAGCCACGAAGGGAACUCCCAGUUUUUAAUUUUUAAUUUUUUUAUUGAGUUGUAGUUGAUUUACAGUAUUAGUUUCAGAUAUACAAUAUAGUGAUUCAAAAAUUGUAUAGAUUAUACUUCAUUUAAAGUUAUAAAAUAUUACCUAUAUUCCCUGUGCUGUAUGAUAUAUCCUUGUAGUUUAUUUUAUACGUAGUAGUUUGUCUGCUUUAAUCCCCUACCCCUUUCGUGCCAUUCCCCCAUUUGAAGCUUAUUAUUUCUGAAAAAAAUAAUAGGACUCUGACCAAUCCGUCUUGUGGUUUCCCCUGAGAUUUACUGAGAAAUUACAUGGCCUAUUCUUUCUAGUCAACAAAUGGCACUAUCUCCAAACUGGUGGGGCUACUGAAAAAAAAAAUUGUGUAAGAGGAUCGGCCUUGCUGGACUCUCCUCAUGGUCUGUCCGAAUCUGAAGUAUCUAGGAGUUCCUGUCUUAGCUCAGCAGUUAACAAACCUGACUAGUAUCCAUGAAGAUGCGGGUUUGAUCCCUGGCCUCCGCCAGUGGCUUAAGGAUCCGGCGUUGCUGUGAGCUGUGGUGUAGGUUGCAGAUGUGGCUCAGAUCUAGCAUUGCUGUGGCUGUGGUGUAGGCUACAGCUCUGAUUUGACCCCUAGCCUGGGACCUUCCAUAUGCCGUGGGUGCGGCCGUAAAAAGCCAAAAAAAAAAAAAAAAUACCGAGAAUCUGAAGUAUCUGGAAUCCUUUCCUAACCUGGUGUUGCAUGUUGCUAUUGCAUUUCCCCAGAAGUGAGAGUGACAGGGCAAUGGUGCAGGUUGGAAAAGCGAAGGGUUUCCAGCUCUGUUCUAAUUCUUGGCCCGUGAAUUCUUCGUGCUGAACACUGGAGGGCACUCUUGUGCUAUUGCAAGCUGUGAGAGCUGUGGGUAUCAGAUGUUGGAAUAACUGUGUGGGCCGCAGAGAAUUUUGCCCAUUUUCCUGAGUGAUUUAUCAGAUGAUGACACCAGGGCCUGGACUGGGUUUGGGGACAUGAGGAAAAAGAUUCAAUACUGAUUAGGAAUUCAGGCUAUAGUGGUCUAACUUUGUAGGCAGAGCUCACUGGGCCACCGGCAUGAGAGAGGAGACAUUAAAAAAGCCAACCAAAAGGAAGAUAUACUUUCAACUACCAUCUGUAUGCAGAUUUGCAAAUCUAUAUUUCCAUAGAUCUGUAUAUAAUCACUUGAUAUCUAGCCACUUGAUAGCCAUCAGAAGCCUUAAGCUCAUCGUUUCCCAAAGGGAACGAAUUGUUUCCUUUCUCUGCUUGCCACCCACUCUCCUUACAUUCCCAUCCCAUUUCAAAACUGCUGCCAUGCCCCUUCUGUGCCUCCUAGACUUGCCAUUUUGAAGUAUUCUCCAUCUCAGUAAACGGUCCCACCUUGUUCAAGUCAUCAAACUGCUGGCACCAUCUUUGACACGUUCUUCCUUCUGUCUUCUUUUUCAUUCAAUGACCCUGUCCUGUUCAUUCUACUUCCUAAAUAUCUCUUGGAUUUACCCAAUUUCCCACAUUCCUCAUUCCUAGCCACCACUUCCUCUCACUUGGAUUACUGCAGUGACCUUAGAGACACUCUCCUCUUACCCAGUGUUGAUUUCUCACAUGUGUUCUUCAACCAGCAACCAGAAUAUAUCUAAAAUCUAAAUCUAACCUUAUUACUUCUCUGCUUGAAACCAUUUAAUGGCUAUUCUUAGCCUUCAGGAUAACGUUUAAAUGCUUUAGCAUGGGACUCAUUCAUGCUUCUUCUGGAGCAUCUUUUCUGUGCUGUGUUCCAUGUUAGAGGCAUUGGGGAUGGAUUCAGAGAUGAAACAUACACAGCCUCUGCUUUCAUGAAACUCAGUUAUUCAAGUUAUAACACGUGGAGCUCCCAGUAUAGUGCCACAGAAGGCCAUGCAUGAUCCGGAUUCUGUUCCCUGCUUCAGCCUCUCAUCUUGCCCUUCCCUCCUCUGCCCUGUCUUGCCAUGUCUUCAGUACCCCUUCAAACUCUGCAGUGCAGCCAGCCAAGCCGAGCUACUUGCGGUUUGCACAUGCUUCUCUUAAAUGCUUUCACUCCUCUGUACAGGCUAUUUUCUUUCUAUGUGGAAUACCUGCCACAACUUCUUCAUCCAGUUAAAUCCUAGUCAUUCCUCAAAGCUCAGUUCAGAUGUCAUGUCUUACAGGAAGCCCUCCCUGGUAUCUUUAUCCUCUAAGCUUGUGUUAGGUAUCCCUGUAAUCCCAUAGAAUCUUGUGUUUAUCUCCUUCAUAGCAUUUUUCAUACUGUAUUAUAAUUGUUUGCUUCUUUGUCUCUCCCUUUUUAGUGAGAAUCCAUUUCUCCAAGUCACUUUCUUUGUUGCCAGCUAGUGCUGACUCAAGGGCUUUAGCCCCACUGUAACCUAUGGCUCCUUGCUCAGUGUCUUUCAUUUCAGCUAUUUCUUCCAGCACUGUUCUUUACAAGUGCAAGGGAUAGACAAUACAAAGCUGUGGAAGAGGUUCAGCUGCCUUGCCUUUCAACAUUACAUGCUGAGGAUACUUUGCUCAAUCACUAGAAAUUGAACAGUGAUGAUGGAGGGCUGAAAAUGGCACCCUCUCAUCUCUGACUUUGUGGACAAGCUCUGGGGUACCCAGAUAUUCUCCAGUUUGGACUUUCAGG
This 4824-nucleotide long non-coding RNA is filed under the name Sus scrofa (pig). RNAcentral describes it as "lncRNA (ENSSSCG00055003392.1)". Lineage: Eukaryota; Metazoa; Chordata; Mammalia; Artiodactyla; Suidae. The record is from RNAcentral.